UGCCCUGGGGGGUCUGAAGAGACACAGCCCUACCUUAAGGGGAGGUCUCUGCUCUGCCUUCGUGGAUGUCCGUGGGGGCCGCGGACAUGCCCUGAUAAAACCCUUGGGAGUCCUACACAGACGAUCCCUCACCCUUCCCCGUCUCCUGUGGCUGGGCUCCAGGAACGCUAGCCUCCCUGCUCCCCAGAAGACCUGGUUCAGGGUCGCCGCAGGGCCUUUGCAUGGUCUGUCCCCACCUCGCCUCCCCUGCUCUUCUCCAGCUCUCUUUUCCUUCAGGGCUCUGCUCAGACCUGCUGUUCCUGCCUGGCCACGGCAUCACUCCAGCUCCUGGCCUGCCUUGUUUUUAUUGACCACGAUCCGACAUUAUGCUGAACAUGAUGUGCUCCUUUGUUUCUUUUCUGGCUGCUGGGUUCACUGCUAUCUCCCCAGUGCCAGGGACAGUGGCUGGCACACAGUGGGCCCUCAGUGAAUAUGCUGGAAUGGCCAUGUGACUCCCCCAUGUGUCCCACCGCUGAAGUCAGUCAACAAUGCUUCGACAGUCGGUGAAACACUAUAUGAAAUUCUAGGCAGUCAAGACCCAGCUACAAAAGUGCUAGAAGAAAAUACUGGAUGAUUCCUGAAGAUCUCAGAAAGGCCUUCUUCACAGAGGGACUUCCCUAAGCAAGGAAGAAAAUCCAGAUGCCCAGAAGACCGAAAAAUGUGACUUAAUCUGCUUGGGAAAAACAAACAAACAAACAAACAAACAAACAACCAUAUACGAAGUAAAAAAAAAUGGGGAAAAACAGAUGUAAUAGAUAUAGUGAAGGCUAGUUUUCUUAAUAUUUAUAAAGACCACUAUGCAUUACAGUGACAGCUCUUACUUGUUCAAGGCUCUACUUUGUUAAGCAAAGUUAUUAAGAAUACCGAUGGUAAAUGAAUACACGAAUGAAAAAGAUCUGUGACUAAGUAAAAUAGUAACACCCCGGUAGAAAAAUUGGCAAAAGACACGAACCGAGAGUCUCCAGGAAAAACCAACAUAACUAACUUUUUAAUAUAGGAGACUGCAUAUAAUCUCAAUAAAAUAAUCGUGAGUGCAA
Molecule: long non-coding RNA, 1076 nt
Organism: Felis catus (domestic cat)
Lineage: Eukaryota; Metazoa; Chordata; Mammalia; Carnivora; Felidae
Exons: 2
Source: RefSeq, a predicted model, not a curated record